This 67-nucleotide transfer RNA is filed under the name Scarabaeoidea sp. KM-2017. Its description in RNAcentral is "tRNA-Leu". The record is from RNAcentral. Lineage: Eukaryota; Metazoa; Arthropoda; Insecta; Coleoptera.
AUUACUUUGGCAGAUUAGUGUUUAGGAUUUAGAAUCUUAAAAUGUAUUAAAAUUAAUACAAGUAAUA